This 562-nucleotide ribosomal RNA is filed under the name uncultured bacterium. RNAcentral describes it as "bacterial SSU rRNA". It matches the Rfam family "Bacterial small subunit ribosomal RNA", at positions 338 to 916 of the family's 1533-position model. The record is from RNAcentral.
CCUACGGGAGGCAGCAGUGGGGAAUAUUGGACAAUGGGCGAAAGCCUGAUCCAGCAAUGCCGCGUGAGUGAUGAAGGCCUUAGGGUUGUAAAGCUCUUUUACCAGGGAUGAUAAUGACAGUACCUGGAGAAUAAGCUCCGGCUAACUCCGUGCCAGCAGCCGCGGUAAUACGGAGGGAGCUAGCGUUGUUCGGAAUUACUGGGCGUAAAGCGUGCGUAGGCGGCGAUUCAAGUCAGAGGUGAAAGCCUGGAGCUCAACUCCAGAACUGCCUUUGAAACUAGAUUGCUAGAAUCUUGGAGAGGUCAGUGGAAUUCCGAGUGUAGAGGUGAAAUUCGUAGAUAUUCGGAAGAACACCAGUGGCGAAGGCGACUGACUGGACAAGUAUUGACGCUGAGGUACGAAAGCGUGGGGAGCAAACAGGAUUAGAUACCCUGGUAGUCCACGCUGUAAACGAUGAUAACUAGCUGUCCGGGCUCUCAGAGCUUGGGUGGCGCAGCUAACGCAUUAAGUUAUCCGCCUGGGGAGUACGGUCGCAAGAUUAAAACGUCAAAGGAAUUGACGG